Molecule: long non-coding RNA, 1134 nt
Organism: Pipistrellus kuhlii (Kuhl's pipistrelle)
Lineage: Eukaryota; Metazoa; Chordata; Mammalia; Chiroptera; Vespertilionidae
Exons: 2
Source: RefSeq, a predicted model, not a curated record
CUCUCUCUUCUUCCCUCCCUCUCUGUUCUCCUCUCUCUAAAAUCAAUAGAAAAAAAUAUAUAUAUCAUGGAUGAGGAUUUAAAAGAAAAAGAUAAGGAGUUGGCCUGACUAACAGAUGAGGGAGUUCCAAGCCAAGAGGACAUGAAGCUAUGAGAGAGCAAAGUUCUAUUGUGUGAAGCUUCUAAUGCAAAAUAGGAAACUAAUAGUUUUGGGAAUGGGGAAUAAGCCUGAGUUGGUGAGCAGAGACCAGAGCACCAAGGGCUUUGCCUGCUUUUCAGAAGUUUGUAUGCCACCUGGAAAGUAAGGGACCCAUUGAAGACUUUUUGAGCAGAAGGAUGACAGCAUCAGAUUUGGUGGCAAGAUGGGAGGCUGAUCUGGAGAACCAGGACCCAGAGCAGGGCUUCUUACUCAGUCCUAGGACUUGCAAGAGGUCCAUGGUUGGUAUGCUUGGAGAGAAAAGAAAAUGACAUUGUUAUUGUCACUAAACUCUUAACUGAAAUUAAGCAUCUUCUUCAACUAUUUGUAGGCAGCAGAUGACAGUAGAAUUAGCAGAAGAAGUGAGUUUAUCGCCAGUAGAAGUCAGGUAUUUUGGUAUCAUUGUAUAGUUAUUGCAGAUAUCUCAAAAUACACUUUACAUGUUUCACUAAACCCAAAUUACUAUAGCCAUUAGACCCUGAGCUACAUCUUAUCAUUUAAUGAAUUAAUAAAGGAGAACAUGUAUUAUUACACCACAACUUAAAAAUGAUGUAUAUGUGCAUUUUAGAAUCCAUCUUUUGUGAUCUCUAUAAUUAAUUAUAUGAUUUAAACACUGUGUCCUGAGAACGGGUUCCAUAGUUUUCACCUUGACUGCCAAAGGGGUCAUAAAAGCUCAGAACUCAUGCACCAGAGGAAGGUGUUCGUGAGGAGGUCACUUCAACCUAAAGCAGGAAUGGGAAGGAAGGAGUUGAAUAAAUGACUGAUAGAUUCCAAAGGCACUUCCUAUUUCAAGGUUCUUAUGUACAUCAAUUGUAUCAUACUCCAGUUCCAGAAUUUAUACCAACUGUGACAUUCUAGGACAUGGUGCUUUUACCUAAAAUUCUCAAGUUUUCUGUCAUUUGUUUUUACAUAAAAUUACACAGAAUGUGCAAAUAAAAA